Molecule: ribosomal RNA, 253 nt
Filed under: uncultured prokaryote
Description: partial 16S ribosomal RNA
Rfam family: Bacterial small subunit ribosomal RNA
Source: RNAcentral
UACGUAGGUGGCAAGCGUUGUCCGGAUUUAUUGGGUUUAAAGGGUGCGUAGGCGGCCUAUUAAGUCAGUGCUGAAAUAUCCCGGCUUAACCGGGAGGGUGGCAUUGAUACUGAUGGGCUAGAGUACAGAUGAGGUAGGCGGAAUUGACGGUGUAGCGGUGAAAUGCUUAGAUAUCGUCAAGAACACCGAUAGUGUAGACAGCUUACUAGACUUCAACUGACGCUGAGGCACGAAAGUGUGGGGAUCAAACAGG